GGGGAAUAUUGGACAAUGGGCGCAAGCCUGAUCCAGCCAUGCCGCGUGAGUGAUGAAGGCCCUAGGGUUGUAAAGCUCUUUCGCAGGUGAAGAUAAUGACGGUAACCUGAGAAGAAGCCCCGGCUAACUUCGUGCCAGCAGCCGCGGUAAUACGAAGGGGGCUAGCGUUGUUCGGAAUUACUGGGCGUAAAGCGCACGUAGGCGGACUAUUAAGUCAGGGGUGAAAUCCCGGGGCUCAACCCCGGAACUGCCUUUGAUACUGGUAGUCUUGAGUCCGAGAGAGGUGAGUGGAAUUCCGAGUGUAGAGGUGAAAUUCGUAGAUAUUCGGAGGAACACCAGUGGCGAAGGCGGCUCACUGGCUCGGUACUGACGCUGAGGUGCGAAAGCGUGGGGAGCAAAC
RNAcentral lists this ribosomal RNA (400 nucleotides) under uncultured bacterium. RNAcentral's name for it is "bacterial SSU rRNA". It matches the Rfam family "Bacterial small subunit ribosomal RNA", at positions 356 to 773 of the family's 1533-position model. The record is from RNAcentral.